UGUUAAACAUUUCAUUCAUUUGUACCGUUAAAAACUAACGUGAUUAAUAGAAUUACCAAAUAGGGACACAUGGCAUGCCAUGUGUACCUCAUACUGACACACAAGGACAAACUUUUUUACCGUAAAAAUUGAUGGAAUUAAAA
Molecule: non-coding RNA, 143 nt
Organism: Gossypium raimondii (Peruvian cotton)
Lineage: Eukaryota; Viridiplantae; Streptophyta; Magnoliopsida; Malvales; Malvaceae
Source: Rfam